CCUACGGGUGGCAGCAGUGAGGAAUAUUGGUCAAUGGGCGGAAGCCUGAACCAGCCAAGUAGCGUGCAGGAUUACGGCCCUACGGGUUGUAAACUGCUUUUAUACGGGAAUAACGCGCCUUACGUGUAGGGCUUUGCAUGUACCGUAUGAAUAAGGACCGGCUAAUGCCGUGCCAGCAGCCGCGGUUAUAAGGGAGGUCCGGGCGUUAUCCGGAUUUAUUGGGGUUAAAGGGAGCGUAGGGCGGACGUCAAGGGUGCUGGUAAAUGUUCGGGCCCAACCCGGGCCCGGCCGGGGGAACUGGGGGGCGUGAGUCGGCGAGAAGCAGGCGGAAUGCGUGGUGUAGCGGUGAAAUGCUUAGAUAUGACGAAGAACCCCGAUUGCGAAGGCAGCUUGCUGGAGCGGAACUGACGCUGAUGCACGAAAGCGCGGGUAUCGAACAGGAUUAGAUACCCCUGUAGUC
RNAcentral lists this ribosomal RNA (460 nucleotides) under uncultured bacterium. RNAcentral's name for it is "partial 16S ribosomal RNA". It matches the Rfam family "Bacterial small subunit ribosomal RNA", at positions 338 to 795 of the family's 1533-position model. The record is from RNAcentral.